Arabis alpina (gray rockcress) is the source of this 106-nucleotide small nucleolar RNA. It matches the Rfam family "Plant small nucleolar RNA R71". Rfam says of the family: R71 is a member of the C/D box family of snoRNAs containing the C (UGAUGA) and D (CUGA) box motifs. Multiple nearly identical copies of this snoRNA have been identified in Arabidopsis, and it is thought to function as a 2'-O-ribose methylation guide for 18S ribosomal RNA. The record is from Rfam. NCBI's taxonomy places the organism in Eukaryota, Viridiplantae, Streptophyta, Magnoliopsida, Brassicales, Brassicaceae.
ACUCCAUGGUGAGGGCAAGAUCUAGUGUAACCCUUCAAUCUUUCCCAUGCUUCAUAAAGUGAUUCAUUUGGACCUUGCUUGAAGCUUGUGAUGUCAUUUCUAAUCU